This is an RNA transcript of Dinoponera quadriceps, 1965 nucleotides long. It is a transcript of the gene named transcription factor Sox-21-B-like, with no coding region annotated. The record is from RefSeq and is a predicted model, not a curated record. Lineage: Eukaryota; Metazoa; Arthropoda; Insecta; Hymenoptera; Formicidae. The transcript has 4 exons.
UCAAGCACAGUCGAUUCAAAGCGCGUCGAUGCGCGCACCAGCAUCCGAAAAGUCGUUACACGUGUGACUGGGGACUGUUUUCGUCGGUUGUUCACGGGCAUCCUCUCGCCGGAACUAGUUCAGGGUGAAGAAAAUAUCGAGAGGCAUCCUUUCGUUCAGCAAACAAGACUCAACGGGAGGACGGAUAAUGGAAACUCACCGAUUCUGGACGAUGCCGAGCAUGGAGCUCCCUUCGUUACACGACGUGACGCAAGACGCAGCGAGCGACGGACGGCAAACGCCCGGAUCGGACGAGCAACACAUCAAGAGGCCUAUGAACGCUUUCAUGGUGUGGUCGCGCGAGGAACGGAAGAAGAUUUCCAAAGAGAACCCAAAGCUGCACAACUCGGAGAUUUCGAAGAGGCUCGGCUGCGAAUGGAAGAAACUUCCCCAGGAAGACAAGCAGCCGUUCAUCGACGAAGCGAAGAGGCUACGCACCUUACACCAGCAGGAACAUCCGGACUACAAAUACCGGCCCCGAAGAAAAAUGAGGACCUCGUACCGGACUAGCAAACACCAACCCGUCAAUUCCUUCCCCCCGCCCGCCUUCCCUCCUCUGCCGACGUAUUUCGCCACGCCGGCGCAUCCGGUCAAUCAUCACCACACACACUCGUUCGAUUAUUCACCCCUACAACCGUAUUUCGGUACUCCCACUUUCGACCUCCACCUCAACAAGCUGGUAACGGGGAACAAUACUGUCGCAGCAUCGCCCGCCACGGCCUACGCAGUGGCGGCCGCCGCAGCCGCCGAUGCCGUCAACAAUAACGCGAGCGUGGUCGCUAAUAACUUCUACCCGAGUCUCUAUCCACCGGCACCGAUCGCAGGAACUGACGGACCUCAUCCCCAACUAAUGUUCUCUUCCUCACCGAUAUCUGGAUCCAUCAGAAACACCAUUAAUGCAAGCGCAGGCAGUCUCGGGGGUGGCCAGUCAACCCGAUACUCUGGCUCCGAUCAACCCGGAACAGCAGAUCCAUGCUGGGCCUCUUAGGAAUGCUACAGAUACGCGGUAUCCUUUAUAAGUACAUAGCUGUACAUACAUCUUCACAGAUAUAUACUAUUCAGGUAUGCCUGGUUAAGAUACACCACGUCAGCCCGUUACACUCCGAAGUCGUAAAAUGUUUCGCACAUGUUUCAGGGGUCCGAUCUGUGAUGUGACUUUUGACGUGAUAUUUAUAAGGAGUCGGGUCUGGAAGAGUAUUUACCGUAUCAGACGUCCGUAUAAAGAUCGUCAAAAUUCUCGGGACAGACGCGAAAGUACAAGGUGUAUUGUAGAAGCGAAGAAGGCCUUCACCCGAUGUGAUCCAGUCUCGAAAGAGAUGUUCCAGCAUUCGUAACAAGUGCCGCAAAUCUGGCAAGAUGUAAAGUUGCGAGAUGUUCGUGAGAUUUCACGGUGAGCUUCCCUGCUACUAUGAUGCGCAAUACAAUCAAGCGGACCAAUCGGCCCGGCAACGUGAACAACAGAGCGGGAGAAAAAUUGUUUCGGAUCAAGGACUACAUGUGAGAACGAGUUAUCUUGAGAAAUUGCGAGAGAAGUUACUGAAGAACGAGAUUUUACAUUCUACCGGCAGCUCACAAGCUACGACAACGGCAUCGUUAACUUUAAUAUAUCGUUUGUACAAAUGUAAAUAAUAUUUAAAAUACAUUCGUAAGAGAUAUUAAACUACGGUGAAAAGGUAAAACAAAAUAUGCGAAUACCAAAAGAAUGUUCUGUACAAAUUACGUGUAUUAUGAGGAAGCAUAACAUUGGAGAAUGAAAAAAAACACACUGCCGAAAAAAAAGCGGCUCAACAAUGCUGGGUGAAAGUCUUCAAAAAGAUACUAUAAAGGCUCGACGACGGAAAAUAAUUGCCUUCCAUUCAAAACAGCCACAUAGAUUCAAACUUCAUUUUCAGUUCCGGAUUCCUCCAGAUAUAAAAAUUAUUUGAA